UACGAAGGGGGCUAGCGUUGCUCGGAAUCACUGGGCGUAAAGGGUGCGUAGGCGGGUCUUUAAGUCAGGGGUGAAAUCCUGGAGCUCAACUCCAGAACUGCCUUUGAUACUGAGGAUCUUGAGUUCGGGAGAGGUGAGUGGAACUGCGAGUGUAGAGGUGAAAUUCGUAGAUAUUCGCAAGAACACCAGUGGCGAAGGCGGCUCACUGGCCCGAUACUGACGCCGAGGCGCGAAAGCCAGGGGAGCGAACGGG
Molecule: ribosomal RNA, 253 nt
Filed under: uncultured bacterium
Lineage: Bacteria
Description: partial 16S ribosomal RNA
Rfam family: Bacterial small subunit ribosomal RNA
Source: RNAcentral